UAAAGUAGCCAUAUCACCCUGUAGCCCAAGACUGGUUGCCCACUGAAGCUAAGCAGGGCUGAGCCUGGUCAGUACCUGGAUGGGAGACCUCCUGGGAAAACUAGGUUGCUGCUGGAA
Molecule: ribosomal RNA, 117 nt
Filed under: Sinocyclocheilus rhinocerous
Lineage: Eukaryota; Metazoa; Chordata; Actinopteri; Cypriniformes; Cyprinidae
Source: RNAcentral